CAUUUUUAUACGACCGCAAAAAUUAAAAAUUUUUUGGUCGUAUAUUGGUAUGACGUUGGCGUCGUCGUCGUCGUCGUCGUCGUCGUCGUCGUCGUCGUCGUCGUCGUCGUCGUCCGGCGUCGUCCGGCGUCGUCCGAAGACACAUUGGUUUUCGCACUCUAACUUUAGUUUAAGUGAAUGGAUCUCCAUGAAAUUCCACCAUAAGGUUCAAUACCACAAAAGGAAGGUUGGGAUUGAUUUUGGGGGUUAUGGUACCAACAGUUAAGGAAUUAGGGGCCAAAAAGGGGCCAAAAAUAAGCAUUUUUGUAACUUUCAGACAAUAACUUGUGUGUAAGUGUAUGGAUCUCUCUGACAUUGUACCACAAGGUUCCAUAUCACAAAGGGAAGGCUGUAAUUGAUUUUGGGGGUAAUUGCCUCAAAAUUUUAGGAAUUAGGGGCCCAAAAAGGGGCAAAAAACAAGCAUUUUUCUAGUUUCAUGACAAUAACUUGUGUGUAAGUGUUUGGAUAUUUCUGAAAUUGUACUACAAGGUUCCAUAUCACAAAGGGAAAGCUGGAAUUGAGUUUGGGGGUAAUUGCCCGAAACGUUUAGGAAUUGGGGGCCAAAAAGGGGCCAAAAAUAAGCAUUUUUCUAGUUUCCAGACAAUAACUUGUGUUCAAGUGUAUGGAUCUCUCUGAAAUUGUACUGCAAGGUACCAUACCACAAAGGGAAGGCUGGGAUUGAGUUUGGGGGUGAUGAAUCAUAAGGGGGUUCAAAAAAUUUGGGGGGGGGAUUUUUUUUUUUUUUUUUUUUCUUUUUUUCCUUUUUUUUUUCUUUUAAAAUUUUCCAUUUUAAGUUGGUUAUUUCUGAUUUAUAUUUAAAAGCAAAUAAUAAUGAUAUGGUAGGAGAUACACACCAAACAGGAUGUGUAAAUUAUUAUAUAAUAAGUAUUGUGCAAUGGCAAGAAAUUUUCAAUUGCACAGUAUUGCACAAUAGCAAGAAAUCUUCAAUUUAACAGUAUUGCGCAAUAGCAAGAAAUAUCCAAUAGCACAAUAUUGCGCAAUAGCAAGAAAUUGUCAAUUGUACAGUAUUGCGCAAUAGCAAGAAAUAUUCAAUUGCACAGUAUUGUGCAAAAGAAGAUACUUCGUAUAAAUUGCUUAUUUCUUGAUCAAUUUCAAUGGGGUUUUAUUCUUGAAUUCUUGGGGUUCUUUAAUAUGCUGAAUCUAACAGUGUAUUAAGUUUUUGGAUUUUGGGCCCCGUUUUUGAAUUGGUCCACAUUGAGGUCCAAAGGGUCCAAAAUUAAACUUUGUUUGAUUUCAUCAAAAAUUGAAUUAUUGGGGUUCUCUGAUAUGCCGAAUCUAACCAUGUAUUUAGAUUUUUAAUUUUGGGUCCCGUUUUUUAAAUUUGUCUACAUUAAGGUCCAAAGGGUCCAAAAUUAAACUUAGUUUGAUUUUAACAAAAAUUGAAUUCUUAGGGUUCUUUGAUAUGCUGAAUCUAACCAUGUAUUUAGAUUUUUGAUUUAUAUGGGCCCAGUUUUCAAGUUGGUCCAAGUUGGGGUCCAAAAUUAAACUUUGUUUGAUUUCAACAAAAAUUGAAUAUAUGGGGUUCUUUGAUAUGCUGAAUCUAAACAUGUAUUUAGAUUUUAGAUUUUUGGCCCAGUUUUCAAGAUGGUCCAAAUUGGGGUCCAAAAUUAAACUUUGUUUGAUUUCAACAAAAAUUGAAUAUAUGGGGUUCUUUGAUAUGCUGAAUCUUACCAUGUAUUUAGAUUUUUUAUUUGUGGGCCCGCUAUCAAAUUGGUUCAUAUUGAGGUCAAAAGGGUCCAAAAUUAAACUUUGUUUGAUUUCAUCAAAAAUUGAAUUAUUGGGGUUCUUUGAUAUGCCAAAUCUAACUGUGUUUUUAGAUUUUUAAUUUAGGGUCCCGUUUUUUAAAUUUGUCUACAUUAAGGUCCAAAGGGUCCAAAAUUAAACUUAGUUUGAUUUUAACAAAAAUUGAAUUCUUCGGGUACUUUGAUAUGCUGAAUCUAAACAUGUGUUUAGAUUUUUGAUUAUGGGACCAGUUUUCAAGUUUGUCCAAGUUGGGGUCCAAAAUUAAACUUUGUUUGAUUUCAACAAAAAUUGAAUAUAUGGGGUUCUUUGAUAUGCUGAAUCUAACCAUGUAUUUUGAUUUUGGACAGUGGACCAUAAUAGGUAAAUUAAAAAGAAUCAAGUUCUUAGACCACAUUCUUUCUGUGUCAGAAACCUAUGCUGUGUCAAAUAUUUAAUAACAAUCCAAAUUCAGAGCUGUAUCAAGCUUGAAUGUUGUGUCCAUACUUGCCCCAACUGUUCAGGGUUCGACCUCUGCGGUCGUAUCAAGCUGCGCCCCAGCGAAGCAUUUUAUUGAUUAUGGCCCCAGUUUUCAAGUUGGUCCAAGUUGGGGUCCAAAAUUAAACUUUGUUUGAUUUCAACAAAAAUUGAAUAUAUGGGGUUCUUUGAUAUGCUGAAUCUAAACAUGUAUUUAGAUUUUAGAUUUUUGGCCCAGUUUUAAAGUUUGUACAAAUUGGGGUCCAAAAUUAAACUUCGUUUGAUUUCAACAAAAAUUGAAUAUAUGGGGUUCUUUGAUAUGCUGAAUCUUACCAUGUAUUUAGAUUUUUUAUUUGUGGGCCCGCUAUCAAAUUGGUUCAUAUUGAGGUCAAAAGGGUCCAAAAUUAAACUUUGUUUGAUUUCAUCAAAAAUUGAAUUAUUGGGGUUCUUUGAUAUGCCAAAUCUAACCGUGUAUAUAGAUUUUUAAUUUUGGGUCCCGUUUUUUAAAUUGGUCUACAUUAAGGUCCAAAGGGUCCAAAAUUAAACUUAGUUUGAUUUUAACAAAAAUUGAAUUUUUGGGGUUCUUUGAUAUGCUGAAUCUAAACAUGUGUUUAGAUUUUUGAUUAUGGGACCAGUUUUCAAGUUGGUCCAAGUUGGGGUCC
This is a long non-coding RNA of Mytilus californianus (California mussel), 2918 nucleotides long. RefSeq lists it as uncharacterized. The transcript is spliced from 3 exons. NCBI's taxonomy places the organism in Eukaryota, Metazoa, Mollusca, Bivalvia, Mytilida, Mytilidae. The record is from RefSeq and is a predicted model, not a curated record.